Molecule: long non-coding RNA, 309 nt
Organism: Magnolia sinica
Lineage: Eukaryota; Viridiplantae; Streptophyta; Magnoliopsida; Magnoliales; Magnoliaceae
Exons: 2
Source: RefSeq, a predicted model, not a curated record
GAGAGGAAACUGCUGAAGGUCAAUAAGAAGAUGUUGAAGGGCGAUUUGAAGGAGUUCGAGCUCGAGGAGUUGGCCUUGGCUUUACUCGGGCUGAGGUUCCUGGACGUGCCAAAGCCGCAGCUCAUGGUUGGGUGUUCCUAAUGGGAUUACUUGGAAAUGGAUGAGAAUCAGCUCAAGAGGGCUUGUUUCGAGGCGUUUCUUGCGUUUGAGAUCGGGUCGAAGGUUCUUGAUUAAUGAAAUGGAACGUUUGGUUUCGGCCAUGUUGAAUGCAGUUUAACGGUGCAGAUUUGCGGAAGAGGAUUUGGCUUU